UGGGUGGCAACCUUUAAAUUGUGCCCCCCCACUUUCAGCAGGCACCAGUAUUCUCUGGCAGAAGCUUCUACCCCACCACCCCACCACAAGGCAGAAAUCCCGAACUCUGCACCCCCAGUCUGGAAAGGAAGUGAGAAGCUCAGGUCAGAGAGAUGAGGCAAAGGAGAUGAGAAGACAGAAUUCUGGUGUAUGAGUACGUGUUGCAGGAUGGAGACAGAAGCCUGUUGACGGUGGAACAAGGUCAAGGUAGCACGCAGCAUGAGCUCCAGGACAAGGGGUCUGGAUGACAAGCAGAGAGGCCGAGCAGGUCAUUGUUUACCAACAAGGAUAAAUAAGCGGGGGAGAAGUUUAGACUCUUGGGGAAUCUCUUCAUGGACACAUUUUGGGUUCCCCAACAGCAGC
Mauremys mutica (yellowpond turtle) is the source of this 402-nucleotide long non-coding RNA. RefSeq lists it as uncharacterized. Lineage: Eukaryota; Metazoa; Chordata; Testudines; Geoemydidae. The record is from RefSeq and is a predicted model, not a curated record. The transcript has 3 exons.